This 508-nucleotide ribosomal RNA is filed under the name uncultured bacterium. RNAcentral's name for it is "bacterial SSU rRNA". It matches the Rfam family "Bacterial small subunit ribosomal RNA", at positions 29 to 507 of the family's 1533-position model. The record is from RNAcentral.
ACGAACGCUGGGCGGGCGUGCCUAAUACAUGCAAGUCGAACGGUUCUUUUCUAUGGAAGCUUGCUUCCACUGAGAAGAUAGUGGCGAACGGGUGAGUAACACGUGGGUAACCUGCCCAUAAGAGGGGGAUAACAUCCGGAAACGGGUGCUAAUACCGCAUAGUUUUCUUGAUCGCAUGAUUGAGAAAGGAAAGACGGCCUUUGUGCUGUCGCUUAUGGAUGGACCCGCGGCGUAUUAGUUAGUUGGUGAGGUAACGGCUCACCAAGACGAUGAUACGUAGCCGACCUGAGAGGGUGAUCGGCCACAUUGGGACUGAGACACGGCCCAAACUCCUACGGGAGGCAGCAGUAGGGAAUCUUCCGCAAUGGACGAAAGUCUGACGGAGCAACGCCGCGUGAGUGAAGAAGGUUUUCGGAUCGUAAAACUCUGUUGUCAGAGAAGAACAAGUUGGAGAGUAACUGCUCCAGCCUUGACGGUAUCUGACCAGAAAGCCACGGCUAACUACGUG